GACGAACGCUGGCGGCGUGCUUAACACAUGCAAGUCGAACGGAAAGGCCCUGCUUUUGUGGGGUGCUCGAGUGGCGAACGGGUGAGUAACACGUGAGUAACCUGCCCUUGACUUUGGGAUAACUUCAGGAAACUGGGGCUAAUACCGGAUAGGAGCUCCUGCUGCAUGGUGGGGGUUGGAAAGUUUCGGCGGUUGGGGAUGGACUCGCGGCUUAUCAGCUUGUUGGUGGGGUAGUGGCUUACCAAGGCUUUGACGGGUAGCCGGCCUGGGAGGGUGACCGGCCACAUUGGGACUGAGAGACGGCCCAGACGCCUACGGGAGGCAGCAGGGGGGAAUAUUGCACAAUGGGCGGAAGCCUGAUGCAGCAACGCCGCGUGCGGGAUGACGGCCUUCGGGUUGUAAACCGCUUUCGCCUGUGACGAAGCGUGAGUGACGGUAAUGGGUAAAGAAGCACCGGCUAACUACGUG
RNAcentral lists this ribosomal RNA (468 nucleotides) under uncultured bacterium. RNAcentral describes it as "partial 16S ribosomal RNA". It matches the Rfam family "Bacterial small subunit ribosomal RNA", at positions 28 to 507 of the family's 1533-position model. The record is from RNAcentral.